GACGAACCGUGCGAACGUUGUUCGGAAUCACUGGGCUUAAAGGGCGCGUAGGCGGCUUGCCAAGUCCGGGGUGAAAUCCUCCAGCUUAACUGGAGAAGUGCCCUGGAUACUGGCGAGCUCGAGCGAGGCAGGGGUUGUGGGAACUUCCGGUGGAGCGGUGGAAUGCGUUGAUAUCGGAAGGAACGCCGGUGGCGAAAGCGCACAACUGGUCCUCUUCUGACGCUGAGGCGCGAAAGCUCGGGGAGCGAACGGG
RNAcentral lists this ribosomal RNA (253 nucleotides) under uncultured bacterium. Its description in RNAcentral is "partial 16S ribosomal RNA". It matches the Rfam family "Bacterial small subunit ribosomal RNA", at positions 524 to 776 of the family's 1533-position model. The record is from RNAcentral.